UACAGAGGUCCCAAGCGUUGUUCGGAUUCAUUGGGCGUAAAGGGUGCGUAGGCGGCGCGGUAAGUCGGGUGUGAAAUCUCGGGGCUUAACUCCGAAACUGCAUUCGAUACUGCCGUGCUUGAGGACUGGAGAGGAGACUGGAAUUUACGGUGUAGCGGUGAAAUGCGUAGAUAUCGUAAGGAAGACCAGUGGCGAAGGCGGGUCUCUGGACAGUUCCUGACGCUGAGGCACGAAGGUCAGGGGAGCAAACGGU
This 253-nucleotide ribosomal RNA is filed under the name uncultured bacterium. RNAcentral describes it as "partial 16S ribosomal RNA". It matches the Rfam family "Bacterial small subunit ribosomal RNA", at positions 524 to 776 of the family's 1533-position model. The record is from RNAcentral.